Molecule: ribosomal RNA, 253 nt
Filed under: uncultured bacterium
Lineage: Bacteria
Description: partial 16S ribosomal RNA
Rfam family: Bacterial small subunit ribosomal RNA
Source: RNAcentral
UACAGAGGGUGCAAGCGUUGUUCGGAAUUAUUGGGCGUAAAGCGCGUGUAGGCGGCUUUGCAAGUCGGGUGUGGAAGCCCUCAGCUUAACUGAGGAAGUGCGCCCGAAACUGCUUGGCUUGAGUACCGGAGAGGAUGGUGGAAUUCCCGAAGUAGAGGUGAAAUUCGUAGAUAUCGGGAGGAACACCGGUGGCGAAGGCGACCAUCUGGACGGAUACUGACGCUGAGACGCGAAAGCGUGGGUAGCAAACAGG